AUUGAACGCUGGCGGCAGGCUUAACACAUGCAAGUCGAGCGGUAGCACAGGGGAGCUUGCUCCCUGGGUGACGAGCGGCGGACGGGUGAGUAAUGUCUGGGAAACUGCCUGAUGGAGGGGGAUAACUACUGGAAACGGUAGCUAAUACCGCAUAACGUCGCAAGACCAAAGAGGGGGACCUUCGGGCCUCUUGCCAUCAGAUGUGCCCAGAUGGGAUUAGCUAGUAGGUGGGGUAAUGGCUCACCUAGGCGACGAUCCCUAGCUGGUCUGAGAGGAUGACCAGCCACACUGGAACUGGGACACGGUCCAGACUCCUACGGGAGGCAGCAGUGGGGAAUAUUGCACAAUGGGCGCAAGCCUGAUGCAGCCAUGCCGCGUGUGUGAAGAAGGCCUUCGGGUUGUAAAGCACUUUCAGCGAGGAGGAAGGUGGUGAGCUUAAUACGCUCAUCAAUUGACGUUACUCGCAGAAGAAGCACCGGCUAACUCCGUG
This 490-nucleotide ribosomal RNA is filed under the name uncultured bacterium. Its description in RNAcentral is "partial 16S ribosomal RNA". It matches the Rfam family "Bacterial small subunit ribosomal RNA", at positions 30 to 507 of the family's 1533-position model. The record is from RNAcentral.